This 68-nucleotide transfer RNA is filed under the name Naticarius hebraeus. RNAcentral's name for it is "tRNA-Pro". It matches the Rfam family "tRNA". Rfam says of the family: Transfer RNA (tRNA) molecules are approximately 80 nucleotides in length. Their secondary structure includes four short double-helical elements and three loops (D, anti-codon, and T loops). The record is from RNAcentral. Lineage: Eukaryota; Metazoa; Mollusca; Gastropoda; Littorinimorpha; Naticidae.
GAAACUGUAGUUUAAAUAAAACAUUAGCAUUGGAAGUUAAAAAUUAGGUUAUAAUCCUACAGUUCGAC